UCAAAUCAAAUUACAUUGUGGUGAGUAUGGAAUUUAGUUUACCAACUGCCUCAAUCACAUAUUGUGACACAAGAUAAACAUGAUUGUAUAUAUAUAGUUGCAAGUCGGUCAUGAGAUGCUACACUUGGUAAAAUUGAUCGGAUAAUUUUAAAUCGUACAUCUAUACAAUUAAUCACCCACGCUAAGCAUCCACACAAUAUGUGUUUGUGUUAUUACACGAAAAUGAAUUAAAAUCACCCUAUGUAUUUCAAUGAAUGUAGCAUCUACAAAACCAGUAGGAGUGGACGAUAGUUAAACAUAUCGAUUUCGUUUAUUUAUUUUGUUGAAAUACAAUGACCAAAAGACAUCGAUAAAAAAAAACAAAAUACAAUUAAGACCAAUAGCAAACUCCAUAAAUGUCUGUGCCGUGACUACGAUAAAAUCCAUCUUCCCUCACCAAAUAAUUUUCUACUCUAUAUGUCUUCAACCAACUAGAUCUAAACACGUCAAAGGAACAUCGCUUCGAUCCCCACUGAAAGCGACAAAAGUAAAGAGUCGUCCCGAUCCAAUUAGAACGGAACGACCAACUCACCUGCUCACCUGAAUUAAGUCUCUGAUUUGCGACCACAUCAUCUUUUGACGCACAGUAAACAAACAAGGAAGCAGAAUUUGUGGGGAGUUCGUUAUAAAUAUGAAUAUGAUGUUUUCUGAGGAAGGUAUUUGCUUCAAUCAUAUGAACCAAGUAGAAGAAAAUCACAAAUAUGUAGAAAAAAUUAUUCAUAUGUGUAGAAGCCAUUGUUCUUUUGAUGAAUUGGUUGUGGUUGGAUGGAUUCAUUUUUUGGGCCAAAUUGUCACUUUAAAUAGAUGUUUAAAGAUUGUAUUAUUCAAAGGCAAUCCAAAAUGAUACAACUAACUUCUAUUUAUAGUUAACUAGCUAACUAAAAGCUCUAAUUAGCAGCUAACAACUAAUCCACGUGGACGCUCGUGAUUCGUGUAUUGAACGCCUCUUCUUAACCAUGCCUCUUGAUAGAAAAAUGUGUUUUUAUAAGUAAGUAAAGUGUUUAUCUAUUCUUUUCUUUCAUCCAAACGACGCCGUUCGUGUCUAACAGUCAUAACCGUUACAUUGGCAUAUUUUUUUGUAGGAAUUUGAUUAUAUUGUAUUUAGAAUUUUUAUAUAUUACUCUCAUCAUUACGAGAGUUCUCGUAUAUGUUUAUUUUAUUCAGUGCAUCUAAAUGGUUAUUGGUUGGUCAUGAAUUCCUUCGUUACCAAAUAAAAAAUUUAAAAACGAAACGUUUAUCCAUUCGAGACAAUAAACAUUAAAUUCCACAAUAUAUUCUUCACGGAGGGGAUUUAACAAUCAAUGUUUAGGAGAUCAUAACUUGGAUUUGAAUAUAUCGAAUGUGGUGUUUGGUCGUCAAAACUUUUGCAAAGAGAUUACGAGUGCAUUGAUUUUUCUCGUUUGAAUGUACUUCUAUAUUAUAAAAUUUAAAUUACAUUAGACAAUUCGACAUUGUUAUAUAACUUAUAUUUACCUAAAUCUAUCCUAUUAGGAUAGGUAAUUCGCUUAAUGAAGAUGAAAUUAAAGUUAUUUUAGAUAUUAUUAUAAUUUUUAAAUUUACUGCUUAAAGUUGAUUUUUCUUUUUCUUUUUCACCAAAUUGGGAACAGUAUAACGUAACACAAUAAGAUUAUUGUAGUGUUUUCACAUUAAUCUUAUUGUGUUGCUAGUCAACGGUGUGUAAAUAAAAUAAUUCAAAAGAAAAUAGUUAAGAAAAAUUUAGAAAAAAAUAAAUAAAUAAUCAAUAGCGAAGACUGGUGGUGGCCCGAAAAUAUUCAUAAUAUUUUUUUGUAAAAAGAUUAAAUAAAUAAAGUCAACGUCGGAGACCGCCGUUAACCGACCUGCAAAAAUAAAGAUUUGAUUUCUCAUUAAUCUAUUAGUAUUUUUUUUAUUCUUUGCCGGCGUACAAAAACCUACCUGCAAAUUUAACCUAGAUGAUAGAUGGUAAAAAUCUUUAUAAAUUUAUCAAUUAAGUUGUUAAUUUCGUUAAUGGAUAAUAAAUAGACUACAUAUAUUUUCCCUUAAAUUAAUGAAGAGAAUUAUAUUACCUAAUAUCAAAAUGCAAUGAAAAGUUUGUCUUCAUACUUUCGAAUACGACUAGUUUUUGCAAGUCUGUAGAGUGGACUAUUAAUUAAAUAUAUCGAAUUUAUUUAUUUAUUUUGUUGAAAUACAACUACCAAAAGAUGUUGAUAUAAAAAAAAAAAUUACAAUUAACUCCAAUCGUGACGAGAUUUUUUCAAAUCAGUUAAAUAAUUGUCUUGGUCGUGGCUACGGUAAAAUCCAUCUUCCCUCGCAACAUAAUUGAGUGUGUUAUAUGUCGCAUACCAAUGAGCAUCAAACACAUCAAACGAAGAUUGCUUCGAUCCCCACCAAAAAUGACAAAAGUAGAGAGUCGUCCCUAGCCAAUUAGAACGGAACGACCAGCUUAACUGAUCACCUGGAUUAAGUGUCUGAUUUGCGACCACAUCAUCUUUCGACGCGCAGUAAACAAAUAAGGAAGCGGAAUUUGUAGGGAGUUCGUUAUAAACAUGAAUAUGAUGUUUUUGGAGCAAGCUAGUUGCUUCAAUCAUAUGAACCAAGU
Molecule: long non-coding RNA, 2617 nt
Filed under: Erythranthe guttata (spotted monkey flower)
Lineage: Eukaryota; Viridiplantae; Streptophyta; Magnoliopsida; Lamiales; Phrymaceae
Description: long non-coding RNA (EGUT_LNC001745)
Source: RNAcentral